AAUACACCUCAAACUUAUUGCUCCGUAAAUAUGUAUUUGCUGACCAACAUCUUCCUAAGCCCUCCUUUCCCCUAGCCACCCCAGCCUCUGGAAACAACCAUUCUACUCUCUAAUUAUGUAUGAUCAACUUUUUAAGAUUCCACAUAUAAGUGAGAUCAUGUGUAAAUAUGUAUUUGCUGACCAACAUCUUCCUAAGCCCUCCUUUCCCCUAGCCACCCCAGCCUCUGGAAACAACCAUUCUACUCUCUAAUUAUGUAUGAUCAACUUUUUAAGAUUCCACAUAUAAGUGAGAUCAUGUGGUAUUUGUCUUUCUGUGACUGGCUUAUUUCACUUAAUGUCUUCCAGAUUCAUCCAUGUUGUCACAAAUGGGAGAAUUUUCUUCCUUUUUAGGGCAGAAUAGUAUUUCAUUGCGUAUAUAUAACACAUUUUCUUUUAUUUUACGUCAGGAGUUACAUGUGCAGGUUUGUUACAUAGGUAACUUGUAUCAUGGGGGUUUGUUGUAAAGAUUUAUCACUCAGGUGCUAAGCCUACUACCUAAUAAUUAUUUUUUCUGCUCGUCUCUCUCCUCCUACACUUCACCCUGAAGUAGGCCCUGGGUCUGUUGUUCUCUUCUUUGUGUUCAUGAGUUCUCAUCAUUUAGCUCCCACUUAUGAGUGAAAACAUACAUAUAUACCACAUUUUCUUUAUCCACUCAUCGGUUGAUAGACACUUAGGUUGCUUUCAUAUCUUGGCCUUUGUGAAUAGAGCCGUAAUGAACAUGGGAAUGAAGAUAUCUCUUAAAAAAGGAAUUGCAAAUGGCAUUCAUUUAUGAACCAAAUAGUUGUUAAUACUACCCAUUACUAAUUUUUAAAAAUGGGUGUUUUGAUGUCUCCUAGCUUCUUUACUUAUACUUGCACAUUUGGCUUUGGGAUAUUCAUAGGGCAAAAUUCAUUCUAACAAAGAAGAAUUUUAAAAUGUGUCAACCCUUUAUCUGAACUCUAAAGAAGUAAUAUUUAUCCUAAUUGAGAAAACAUUUUGGAACAUGUACAAAAAACAUGUUUUUGUACCUUCCCUCAACCUCUCAUUUAUGUAAGUUAGAUAGAUCCCUCACUUCAAGCUGAUUAUCUGGAGCAUAUGGUACUGGGAAAACAGAUAAGUGUAGGCUUAUCUUUUUGAUGGCCAUGUAUCCAUCAAAAUGUAACUAUACUGCCAAUCAUUCUUUAGGUUUUAGGUAAAAACAUAAAUAAAUCCUGUCCAUUUUUAUAGAACCUCAGAGUUUACUGGAUGUUUUUGUAAUCUAGCAAGGAGGGGCUUGGUAAUUAAUAUCAUAUUUACAUUUUAUAUCAAUUUUCAUUUGUUGUGUGCACAAAUAUGUUUAGGUUAACUGUUCUAUAAACUGUGUAUGAUCCUCAUUUCAUUCGGUGGUUUUAUUCUGAAUUGUGGUGGGCCAUUCUGAAUUAUGUUUUUAGAAAGUAUCAAUUUGAUAAACAUCUUAAAAUAUUAUUAUAAAUAGAUUAGUAACUUCAAGGUUGAUGUAAAUAGAUCACUCAAUUUUGACUGAAUAAAUGUGGAAUGAAUUAACACUGCUGGAGGUAGAAAGACUCAGUUUUGCAUGGUCUUGCCUUUGAUCUAGUUCUCAAAUUUCCUCCUGGCACAGAAUAUUUAUAGUGAGCCUUCUGGAAUUGCCACUUGAUAACCAGCAACAUGUUGUAAGAUGUUGUUAUAGCUACAACAUCUCCCACUUCUUUUCGAUAAUUUGCUUCAGCUUAAACUUGGCUCUGUCUUACUGCCAUUCAGGAAGUGUCUGUUUAUGCAUUCAACCUCGCUUACCUCACGGUUGAGGGGUGGGCUACCUAUCCUCUUUGCUCUCCAUUGCAGAGUAGUAUAUCACCAUCUCUAAAAACAAAAACUACUCAUUUGAGACCCAUGGCAUUUAUUUAUUCUACCCUUGCCCCUCCUCAAAGCUGCCCUCGAAUGACCACCUAUUCACCAUCCGUCAUUCAUCAAAGACAUUGACAUUUGUCUCGUCACCUUCCUCUCUACUCUAACCUUGCUAUCCUCUUGGGUAUCCUCAGUCCUCCAACGACUGCAUGAACAACCCAGUGAAUACCAUGGCUUUCUGGUUUCCAGCCCCCACUCUUCCAGUUUCCUUCUCCUCCGUACCCCUUCAACCACCCACUCCCACAAGAACAUUUUGGAAAUAUAUCAUCACCAAAAACCAUCCCACCGACAGAAUUAAUAAUUCAAGCAUCUUUCCCUCUCACCAUAGCCCCCUCUACUUUCAGAUUAUUAAUCUACCCCUGUAGACCAUCUUUGAUCAUUUUCACAAUGUCUGGUGUUUUAAUCUUCAACUUUCUCCCAAACUGUUGGCUUUUCCCUUUCUUCCCUUUCACUCUUUUUUAUUUUAUUUUAAUUUAUUUUAAUUAUUUUAAUUUUUUAAUUUUUUAUUUUUUCCCUUUCACUCUUAAUAGCUCAAAAUAUAUAAUUCAUUAUUUCCGUGAUACUGCCUCAAAUGCCAAACUCUCUUGCUUCUCUGUUUUUUCUUUUUUUUACCCAUAUGAUAACACUUAAGAUAAACUAAGCCAUUUUCUAACUCCAUGCCUUCAUUCAAGCAGCCAAGAGAUACAUGAUAAAGUCACACCAAUAGCAGAUUCACUCCCACACAUUUAUUUUUUAAAUUAUUUAUUUUUAUUUUUUAGAGACAGCCUUCUUCUGUCAUCUAGGCUGGAGUGCAGUGGUGCUAUCAUAGCUCACUGCAACCUUUGAAAUCCUGGCCUCAAGUGAUCCUCUCACCUUGGCUCCCCCAAAGUGCUGGGAUUAUACGUGUGAGUCACUGUGCCCCACCAGCCUAUUCCUGCAAAUUUUCACUGCUCCAUAUUUAGAUCUAAUCAUCCACUCUGAUAUUUUCCACAAAUGAUAUCUCUCUUUAAAACAACUGUUGUGAACUCUAUCACUUGCAUAAAUAGGGAAUACAAUGGCUAUACCGUGUAAAGGAUAUUGAUACCAUAAACACUCAGGUGCCCACCAAUCACUAUAAGAAAUAGAAAAUUACGUGACACAGUGGCUUUUCAAAUAUUUCCUGCUCUCCUUCAUUUUCUGACUUCCUUAU
Molecule: long non-coding RNA, 3088 nt
Filed under: Homo sapiens (human)
Lineage: Eukaryota; Metazoa; Chordata; Mammalia; Primates; Hominidae
Description: non-protein coding lnc-PRKAR1A-5:2
Source: RNAcentral